RNAcentral lists this ribosomal RNA (240 nucleotides) under uncultured Lactobacillus sp. RNAcentral's name for it is "partial 16S ribosomal RNA". It matches the Rfam family "Bacterial small subunit ribosomal RNA", at positions 122 to 354 of the family's 1533-position model. Lineage: Bacteria; Bacillati; Bacillota; Bacilli; Lactobacillales; Lactobacillaceae. The record is from RNAcentral.
UAACCUGCCCAAGAGAUCGGGAUAACACCUGGAAACAGAUGCUAAUACCGGAUAACAACAGAUGAUGCCUAUCAAUUGUUUAAAAGAUGGUUCUGCUAUCACUCUUGGAUGGACCUGCGGUGCAUUAGCUAGUUGGUAGGGUAACGGCCUACCAAGGCGAUGAUGCAUAGCCGAGUUGAGAGACUGAUCGGCCACAUUGGGACUGAGACACGGCCCAAACUCCUACGGGAGGCAGCAGAC